UAGAGGUAUGUAGAAUCACAUGCUCCCAAAACAGCAUAAGUGGAGGAGGCAUCAUGAAAAGCUGAGAGUACAGAGAAGGUGUCAGAAAUGUGCAGAAAGAUGUGAAAGAGGAAAAAGAAACAAGAGAAUCUCCUUCUAGUAUUUUCUCUGUCCCCAACUUGCGCUGAGGACUCCUCCAUUACUGUGAAAGGCUGGAGAGAAAGGAAAGUGAAAGUGGAGCAGCACCUCUCCUGGGAUCACUCAUCUCUAACACUGGCACCUGGCAAACCGGGACCUGGAACUACAGCAUCCUGAGCAGUACAGCUGAAGGUAGCAAUGUCUCCCUGUGCCUCUGAGGAGUUUAUCCUGCAAACGCCAUGCCUGGAAGGCAACUGUUACAGAGUGUUCAAGGAUUCAGGAAAAGACAUGAAAGCACAAAAGAGAUCAUGCUAACCACUCAUUUUGUCUUUCAAAGUGCCACUUGCCAACUUACAAACACGGCCGUAACUUCCCUAAGACUAACUUUUCCCAAGACUUCCUAUUUGUACAAUGUGUACUACACUAAUGCCUAAGACCUCCUACUACCAUGAAA
Molecule: long non-coding RNA, 571 nt
Organism: Cuculus canorus (common cuckoo)
Lineage: Eukaryota; Metazoa; Chordata; Aves; Cuculiformes; Cuculidae
Exons: 3
Source: RefSeq, a predicted model, not a curated record